GACGAACGCUGGCGGCGUGCCUAAUACAUGCAAGUAGAACGCUGAAGGAGGAGCUUGCUUCUCCGGAUGAGUUGCGAACGGGUGAGUAACGCGUAGGUAACCUGCCUGGUAGCGGGGGAUAACUAUUGGAAACGAUAGCUAAUACCGCAUAACAGUAGAUGUUGCAUGACAUUUGCUUAAAAGGUGCAAUUGCACCACUACCAGAUGGACCUGCGUUGUAUUAGCUAGUUGGUGAGGUAACGGCUCACCAAGGCAACGAUACAUAGCCGACCUGAGAGGGUGAUCGGCCACACUGGGACUGAGACACGGCCCAGACUCCUACGGGAGGCAGCAGUAGGGAAUCUUCGGCAAUGGACGGAAGUCUGACCGAGCAACGCCGCGUGAGUGAAGAAGGUUUUCGGAUCGUAAAGCUCUGUUGUAAGAGAAGAACGAGUGUGAGAGUGGAAAGUUCACACUGUGACG
RNAcentral lists this ribosomal RNA (462 nucleotides) under Streptococcus mitis. Its description in RNAcentral is "bacterial SSU rRNA". It matches the Rfam family "Bacterial small subunit ribosomal RNA", at positions 28 to 474 of the family's 1533-position model. The record is from RNAcentral. Lineage: Bacteria; Bacillati; Bacillota; Bacilli; Lactobacillales; Streptococcaceae.